UAAUAAACUGAGCAAGUUUUAGAUAUGUUGCC
Molecule: non-coding RNA, 32 nt
Filed under: Mus musculus (house mouse)
Lineage: Eukaryota; Metazoa; Chordata; Mammalia; Rodentia; Muridae
Source: RNAcentral